Long non-coding RNA from Helianthus annuus (common sunflower), 1087 nucleotides. RefSeq lists it as uncharacterized. Lineage: Eukaryota; Viridiplantae; Streptophyta; Magnoliopsida; Asterales; Asteraceae. The record is from RefSeq and is a predicted model, not a curated record. The transcript has 3 exons.
GCUUCAGCCGACACCCCCUACAAUUCCUUUCUCUGCAUUUCUUGAAGAAACACUAACUACGUAUAACAUACCAUCCUUUUCAUCUUUACUUUUACAAAAAUGGAGCCCUAGUCAGAUCACUACAGCCACACGCACCAGAUCCACUCUCAGUCCCUCUCGUCUGCUCGACCGGUGACAGGAGCGGGGGUGCCAGCUGUGAACUCCGACAACACCCUCCGCCAGUCCUCACCAGCCGAUGGCCAGAGCUGUGUUUCCGGCAACAUAUAACCCCCCCCUCUCGACUUCUCGGUAAACCACACCUCAUAUCAUCAUCUUUCACCUGCUACACACAUACUGAGAUUAGAAUGGACGAGCUUGAGUAGAGACAGAGAGUUCAACAGAGAGUGAUCGGGAGAAAAGGGAGCCGCGCUACCGCUCACGGAUACGGAAGUGGACACCGGCGAUGGCAAGGCGGUAAUGUUCUUGUUUCUUUCGACGAGUUUACCCUGUAAAUCCCUCUCCAUUUUCUUUCAUUUUGUUCUUUUUCUUCCGAUGAUACGAUGAUGAUAAUAGUGGUGUUAUUCUACCCUACAAGAGUCACCAAUGAUGUCUGGGGGUGUUAAGGCGGGGCGUUGCCGCCGGCGGCGGUGGUCGAACCAGCGACAGCAGCCAUGGAAGUGGUGGAAGGCUCAAACCCAGGCUCGUGUUUCAGGUCACGGCUCGGCUCAAGUUCAAAUGCUCAAGACUCGGGUAAUGUUCCAGAUUCAUCUUACGGGCGGUUCACAUUUUCGGUUCGGGUUUGGUCAGCCGUAGCCGACGUCAGGUUCAGUCAACAAGUCAACGGUUCGAGUUUGGUAAAACCCGGUCAAGAUCAGCAGAUUGGGUUUCGGUUCGGUUCAGUCAAAGACGGUCAACAGCAGAUCUGUGCGGUUCGGGUUCCUAGGAACGAGUCAACUCGGUCAAACCGAGUCGACUCGGUCAAACACAGUCAACCCGAGUCAACUCUGUUGACUCGGUCCACUAAGUUAGCGUUUUCGACAUGAGGAUUUGAAUGCACGCUAGCGAGUCACGUCUUGAAAACGACAUCACGAAGUCGUAUGUAGCUAGC